Molecule: ribosomal RNA, 1561 nt
Filed under: metagenome
Description: SSU rRNA
Rfam family: Eukaryotic small subunit ribosomal RNA
Source: RNAcentral
UCUGGUUGAUCCUGCCAUUAGUCAUAUGCUUGUCUUAAAGAUUAAGCCAUGCAUGUCUAAGUAUAAACACUUUGUACUUGUGAAACUGCGAAUGGCUCAUUAAAUCAGUUAUAAUUUAUUUGAUGGUCCUUUACUACUUGGAUAACCGUGGUAAAUCUAGAGCUAAUACAUGCACAAAAUCCUGACUGCUUUCGGGUAGGAGGGGUGUAUUUAUUAGAUUCAAAAGCCAAUGCCAUUCUUCGGAGUGGAAAUUUUUUAUAUGGUGAAUCAUGAUAACUUUACGAAUCGCAUAGUCUUGUACUGGCGAUAGUUCAUUCAAAUAUCUGCCCUAUCAACUUUCGAUGGUAGUAUAGAGGACUACCAUGGUGGUAACGGGUAACGGAGAAUCAGGGUUUGAUUCCGGAGAAGGAGCCUGAGAAACGGCUACUACUUCCAAGGAAGGCAGCAGGCGCGCAAAUUACCCAAUCCCGACACGGGGAGGUAGUGACAAAAAAUAACAAUACCGGUCUUAUUAAAGUCUGGUAAUUGUAAUGAGUACAAUCUAAAACCUUUAACGAGUAUCAAUUGGAGGGCAAGUCUGGUGCCAGCAGCCGCGGUAAUUCCAGCUCCAAUAGCAUAUAUUAAAGUUGUUGCAGUUAAAAAGCUCGUAGUUGGAUUUUGAUGAUACUUUUUAUAACCUGCCUUGUAUAAGGUAUGUUUGUUGUGAAUCGUACAUCUCCUUACUAGACUUUCAUGGUUGUACUUAAUUGAAUGACCAUUUCAUUCUGAUUCGUCGGGAUGAGUGAUGAGUAGACCUAUUGGGUUUGAGAUUGUGGAUGAAUUUCUUCGGAGAUUGGUUCUGCUUGGAUUCAAUAACUAUUUAUUAGAAAUCUAGUUCAUUUACUUUGAGUAAAUUAGAGUGUUCAAGGCAAGCAAAUUUGUUUCUGCAAUGAAUACUAUUAGCAUGGGAUAAUGGAACAGGACACGUAUUCUAGUUUUCCGUUGGUUUCUAGAAUUUUUAGUCACUCUUUUUGGAGUGGCGAAGUGUAAUGAUUAAAAGGGACAGUUGGGGGCAUUCGUAUUUCAUUGUCAGAGGUGAAAUUCUUGGAUUUAUGAAAGACGAACUUCUGCGAAAGCAUUUGUCAAAGAUGUUUUCAUUAAUCAAGAACGAAAGUUAGGGGAUCGAAGACGAUCAGAUACCGUCGUAGUCUUAACCAUAAACUAUGCCGACCAGGGAUUGGAAGAUGUAUUAUCCUGUUUAAACGCAGGAAAACUCCUUCAGCACCUUACGAGAAAUCAUAAGUCUUUGGGUUCUGGGGGGAGUAUGGUCGCAAGGCUGAAACUUAAAGGAAUUGACGGAAGGGCACCACCAGGAGUGGAGCCUGCGGCUUGAUUUGACCCAACACGGGAAAACUCACCAGGUCCAGACACAGUUAGGAUUGACAGAUUGAGAGCUCUUUCUUGAUUCUGUGGGUGGUGGUGCAUGGCCGUUCUUAGUUGGUGGAGUGAUUUGUCUGGUUAAUUCCGAUAACGAACGAGACCUCAGCCUGCUAAUUAGUGAUGCAAAUGAUUACAUCCGUAA